RNAcentral lists this microRNA (22 nucleotides) under Canis lupus familiaris (dog). RNAcentral's name for it is "Cfa-Mir-1388_5p (mature (guide))". Lineage: Eukaryota; Metazoa; Chordata; Mammalia; Carnivora; Canidae. The record is from RNAcentral.
AGGACUGUCCAACCUGAGAGUG